CUGGCUGGAAGCGGACUAGGGCUCGCUGCGCUCCAGGCUAAGGGACACCAAAGGCUGCGCGUGGAAGCCCGCUCGGGACGGCCCUGUGGAUAUUAAGGAGCAAACACAUUUGAUGUCAUCCACAUGCUUGAGUAAUUGUGUUUGCAAAGGGCUCCUUAGGCGUGUUUGCAGGAUUUUGAAGAAGUUGAUUUGGAGGGCAGUUUUACCCUGUGCCUAGGAGCCGGACAUGACGGCCGCUUCUGAGAGCCACACGGAGCCGGGACAGGCAGGGAGCCUGCCUGAGCUAUGCUACUUUGGGUGACGCCCACUGCUAACACUUCAGGUACAACAAUGGAAAAGUCAGACAGGGUGGAUGGCCCAUCAGCGAGGACAAUGGACUGUGAAGAGGCUUGGCCGGAGCCGCUGACUCAUGGAUGAUGUGAUACUACAGUCAGGUGGUCUUGUCACCUGAUACUAAACAUUACCUGGGACUUCUUGUAACUUUCCACUGGAAGGGCUGGGGGGUCAAGUUUGGGAAACAAAGAAUUCCUACCCUAUGUAAAUCCUAUUUAAGGGUGAGAAGGAAAGCAAACGUGACUCAUCCUCUCCAUGGCCUGUCUGCCCAAGAAGAAAGACUGCUAAAAACACCUGAAGGGAAGGCAGCGGGGAAGUCCAGUCUUAAAAGAAAUAUAACUGGAACUCGAAACACAGAAACUUUUCAACCUGCCUAAAAUAACAUUUAGGAUGAGAAUUUACAUUUUAUAACCUAUUUCUUCGGUAUUUUGAUCUUAGCUUGCAUUUUUGAUUUAUUUCUUCAGCAAUCUGCUUUGUUCUGUCUGUUGUCUCUUAUAUUCACUUAAAAUUCACCUUUUGUAGUUAAUAAACUUAUUUCUUGUUUAUACUA
Caretta caretta (loggerhead turtle) is the source of this 883-nucleotide long non-coding RNA. RefSeq lists it as uncharacterized. Lineage: Eukaryota; Metazoa; Chordata; Testudines; Cheloniidae. The record is from RefSeq and is a predicted model, not a curated record.